UACGGGGGGGGCAAGCGUUGUUCGGAAUUACUGGGCGUAAAGGGCUCGUAGGUGGCCAACUAAGUCAGACGUGAAAUCCCUCAGCUUAACUGGGGAACUGCGUCUGAUACUGGAUGGCUUGAGAUUGGGAGAGGGAUGCGGAAUUCCAGGUGUAGCGGUGAAAUGCGUAGAUAUCUGGAGGAACACCGGUGGCGAAGGCGGCAUCCUGGACCAACACUGACACUGAGGAGCGAAAGCCAGGGGAGCAAGCGGG
Molecule: ribosomal RNA, 253 nt
Filed under: uncultured bacterium
Lineage: Bacteria
Description: partial 16S ribosomal RNA
Rfam family: Bacterial small subunit ribosomal RNA
Source: RNAcentral